UGGGGAAUAUUGGACAAUGGGCGCAAGCCUGAUCCAGCCAUGCCGCGUGAGUGAUGAAGGCCUUAGGGUUGUAAAGCUCUUUCGCCGACGAAGAUAAUGACGGUAGUCGGAGAAGAAGCCCCGGCUAACUUCGUGCCAGCAGCCGCGGUAAUACGAAGGGGGCUAGCGUUGUUCGGAAUCACUGGGCGUAAAGCGCACGUAGGCGGAUUGUUAAGUCAGGGGUGAAAGCCUGGAGCUCAACUCCAGAACUGCCCUUGAUACUGGCAAUCUCGAGUCCGGAAGAGGUAAGUGGAACUGCGAGUGUAGAGGUGAAAUUCGUAGAUAUUCGCAAGAACACCAGUGGCGAAGGCGGCUUACUGGUCCGGUACUGACGCUGAGGUGCGAAAAGCGUGGGGAGCAAACAGGAUUAGAUACCCUGGUAGUCCACGCCGUAAACGAUGGAGGCUAGCCGUUGGCGAGCAUGCUCGUCAGUGGCGCAGCUAACGCAUUAAGCCUCCCGCCUGGGGAGUACGGUCGCAAGAUU
RNAcentral lists this ribosomal RNA (523 nucleotides) under uncultured bacterium. RNAcentral describes it as "partial 16S ribosomal RNA". It matches the Rfam family "Bacterial small subunit ribosomal RNA", at positions 355 to 895 of the family's 1533-position model. The record is from RNAcentral.